This 571-nucleotide ribosomal RNA is filed under the name Naganishia albida. Its description in RNAcentral is "eukaryotic LSU rRNA". It matches the Rfam family "Eukaryotic large subunit ribosomal RNA", at positions 87 to 665 of the family's 3401-position model. The record is from RNAcentral. Lineage: Eukaryota; Fungi; Basidiomycota; Tremellomycetes; Filobasidiales; Filobasidiaceae.
CGGCGAGUGAGCGGGAGAGCUCAAUUUGAAAUCUGGUAGCCUUCGGUUGCCCGAGUUGUAAUCUAGAGAAGUGUUUUCCGUGCCGGCCCAUGUACAAGUCCCUUGGAACAGGGCGUCAUAGAGGGUGAGAAUCCCGUCCUUGACAUGGACCCCCGGUGCUUUGUGAUACACUUUCAACGAGUCGAGUUGUUUGGGAAUGCAGCUCAAAAUGGGUGGUGAAUUCCAUCUAAAGCUAAAUAUUGGCGAGAGACCGAUAGCGAACAAGUACCGUGAGGGAAAGAUGAAAAGCACUUUGGAAAGAGAGUUAAACAGUACGUGAAAUUGUUGAAAGGGAAACGAUUGAAGUCAGUCAUGCUCUUGGGACUUACCUCCCUUGAGUGGGGUCAACAUCAGUUUUGAUCGAUGGAUAAAGGCACGGGGAAGGUAGCACUCUCGGGUGAACUUAUAGCCUCGCGUCAUAUACAUUGAUUGGGACUGAGGAACGCAGCAUGCCUUAUGGCCGGGAUUCGUCCACGUACAUGCUUAGGAUGUUGACAUAAUGGCUUUAAACGACCCGUCUUGAAACCACGGA